UGUAGCGGUGAAAUGCGCAGAGAUAUGGAGGAACACCAGUGGCGAAGGCGACUUUCUGGUCUGUAACUGACGCUGAUGUGCGAAAGCGUGGGGAUCAAACAGGAUUAGAUCCCCUGGUAGUCCACGCCGUAAACGAUGAGUGCUAAGUGUUAGGGGGUUUCCGCCCCUUAGUGCUGCAGCUAACGCAUUAAGCACUCCGCCUGGGGAGUACGACCGCAAGG
RNAcentral lists this ribosomal RNA (221 nucleotides) under Staphylococcus aureus. Its description in RNAcentral is "partial 16S ribosomal RNA". It matches the Rfam family "Bacterial small subunit ribosomal RNA", at positions 674 to 893 of the family's 1533-position model. The record is from RNAcentral. Lineage: Bacteria; Bacillati; Bacillota; Bacilli; Caryophanales; Staphylococcaceae.